Molecule: long non-coding RNA, 4059 nt
Filed under: Populus tremula
Lineage: Eukaryota; Viridiplantae; Streptophyta; Magnoliopsida; Malpighiales; Salicaceae
Description: long non-coding RNA (PTRE_LNC001736)
Source: RNAcentral
AAUCAUCAAAAGUCCUUCUCAAAAUAACAAAAGAACAUAUAAAUAGUAAACCCUAAAAGUAAACCCUAAAACAUCCUGCUAUUUGGGCUCGGCCCAUCAAAUCGAAUUGUUUAACAUAAAUAACAAUGAGCAGGCCCAGGUGGGCUAAAUAAAAUAAAUAACAAUAAGCAGACCCAAACGGGAUAAAUAAAAUAACAAUGAAAUAGGCCCACAUGGGCUUAGUCCCCCAACCAAAGCGUGACAGGCUGGGCCAUCCUGCGCCGUCUCCGUCCAUAUACUCGUGUAAUCUGUGGUGUGGGCCUGGUGUCCCCACCAACUCUCCCGGGGUUGGAAAAAACUCGACCCCGUCGAGUGUAGCAUUGGCCGACUCUGAUAGUACUCCCAAAGAUCUGGGUCAAGCUGCUGCAAAGUAUCUCUAGUAAUUCAAGUGCAGUCUGAGUCAGGCCGACCCACCCAACGAACUAGAAACCGUUGAACCUCACCAUUCCUGUUAAAAACAACUUGUUCAUCCAGAAUAGCAUCAAUAUUAUCCUUUUGUGCUGAUGUCAAGGUGAAAGGGAUAGAGGGCUCAAUAGUAUCAUCAGUAGGGGAGUUAAGUGGUAUCUCAAAUGGGUUAUUUGGAAUUGGAAGUGGUUUGUGGUAUGCAACUAGAUCCUCAAUGUUAAAUGUAGAGCUAAUACCAAAAUCAUGUGGUAAAUCAAGAACAUAAGCAUUUGUACCAACCCGUUGUAGCACUUUGAAAGGCCCAGCACUACGUGCAUGCAAUUUUCGAUUAGCUCCCGAAGGAAAUCGUUCGGGUCUAAUCCUUAUCAUAACAUAGUCUCCAACAUUAAACUCAUUAUGUCGUCUAUGUAAAUCAGCUUGAAGUUUAUAUUGCGCAUUACUUGCUUGAAUCUGUUUAGUGAUCUCAAUAUGCAAAUCCUGAAUUCUACGUGCAAAAGAUUCAGCUGACUCAGACACCCUAGCAUUAAGGGACAUGGGAAGAAGAUCUAAAGGCUUCCUAGGCUUGUAACCAUGUACAACUUCAAAGGGACUCAUGCCUAUUGACCUAUUGAUAGAGCUAUUAUAGGCAAACUGGGCUGUAGGAAGAAUCAGAUCCCAAUUCCGAUUAUGAUCACUCACUAGACACCUUAAGAGGUUUCCUAAACUUCUGUUAACCACCUCAGUUUGACCAUCAGUUUGGGGGUGGUAAGCAGUAGAAAACUUCAAUUUGGUUCCUACCAUAUGCCAAAGGGUUUUCUAGAAAUAACUUGUAAAUCUAACAUCCCUAUCCGAGACUAUGGUUUGGGGAAGGCCAUGCAACUUGACAAUCUCGUCAAAAUAGAGUUUUGCAACUCUGGAAGCAUCUGUGGUCUUAGUGCAAGGAAUAAAAUGGGUCAUCUUAGAGAAUCGGUCAACAACCACAAAAAUAGAAUCAUGUUUCUUUGUAGUACGUGGAAGUCCAAGCACAAAAUCCAUACUUACAUCUUGCCAAGGACAAGUAGGAACGGGCAAUGGGGUGUAAAGACCAGUAUUUUGUUUUCUAUGUUUAGCUAGUUGGCAAGUUCGACACUGACUUACCAAUUUUGCAACAUCUCUUUUCAAACUAGACCAAAAAAACUGGCGUUCUACCUCUUCUAUGGUUUUAUUCCUCCCAAAAUGCCCUGAGAGACCUCCAGCAUGAAUCUCCCAUAUCAAAAAAUCACGCACAGACGUUUUCGGGAUACAAAGUUUAUUAUCCCGAAAUAAGUAUCCAUUGUGGAAGUGAUAACCAUUUAUUACACGGUGAUUCUCAUCCUUUAAUGUCAAGUAUAUUUCUCCAAAUUCUGAACAAGACUCAUAUUCCUCUUUAAGUCUCUCAAAUCCUAUCACUUCAACACUCAUGACAGAUAACAACGUUACUCGACGACUCAAAGCAUCUGCAGCCUUAUUCUCUAUUCCAGAUUUAUGUUUCAAAACAAAUGAAUAUGCUUGCAAAUAUUCAACCCAAUGGCCAUGCCUAUGAUUAAGCUUCUUUUGGGAGUUAAGAUAGCGGAGGGCCUCAUGAUCGGAGUAUAGAACAAACUCCUGUGGCAACAAGUAAUGUCGCCAAUAGCGCAAGGCCUGAACCACCACAUAAAACUCCUUAUCAUAAGUUGAGUACUUUUGUUUGGCCUCAUUAAGUUUCUCACUAAAGUAGGCUACAAGGUGACGUUCUUGACUAAGUACUCCACCUAUACCAACUCCCGAAGCAUCACAUUCUACUUCAAACACUUUAGUAAAAUCAGGUAGCCGCAUUACUAGGGCCUCCGUCAUUUUUUUCUUAACUUCCUCAAAUGCCCUAUUAGCUCCUUUACUCCACUUAAACUCACCUUGUUUCAAACAAUCUGUAAUAGGUGACAUGAUAGUGCUAAAUCCCUUAAUAAAACGACGAUAGAAAGUCGCAAGCCCAUGAAAACUAUGAACCUCAUGAAUAGUCUUAGGUUCAGGCCAAUCUACUAUCGCUUGGACUUUCUGGGGGUCAGCAGAGACUCCUUUCCAUGACACUAUAAACCCUAAAAAGAUCACUUGAUCUGUAAAGAAGGAACACUUUUUGACAUUUGCAAACAAACUUGCCUUUCUUAGGGUGGUACAAACCUGAAUAAGAUGAUCGAAAUGUUCUUCCUUUGUUUUGCUAUAAAUAAGAAUAUCAUCAAAGUAUACCACCAAGAAUUUUCCCAUAAAUGGCCGAAGCACUUGUGUCAUUACUCUCAUAAAAGUGCUUGGUGCAUUGGACAGGCCAAAAGGCAUGACUAGCCAUUCAUAUAAACCAUCUUUAGUCUUAAAUGCUGUUUUCCACUCAUCUCCAGGACGGAUACUAAUCUGAUGAUACCCGCUCUUUAAGUCAAUCUUAGAAAAGAUUUGGGCUCCUGCCAUCAUAUCUAGCAUGUCAUCCAAUCUAGGAAUUGGAAAACGAUACUUGAUUGUAAUCCUAUUUAUGGCUCGACUAUCAACACACAUUCUCCAUGAUCCAUCUUUCUUGGGUGUUAACAGUGCAGGUACUGCACAAUACUUGCCUUUGCAAUUCAGCAUGUUCACUUGGGUUCAUCCUAUAAUGAGGCAAGUUUGGUAAUGUGGCCCCAUGGACAAAAUCUAUGGCGUGUUGAACAUCACGCAUAGGGGGCAAAGCAUCAGGUAGUUCAGAAGGGAAAACAUCUAGAAAUUCUUUCAACACUUCUCUUACCUCUUCAGGUGGCUCUUCUAAAAAGUCUUCUACAAUCUCUUUAGCCACUACAAAAGAUAACGAUAACAAGGUAUUGAACAAACACUGAGACAAAUGAAAGAAACACAGUGAAUGAACACAGGGAAUCCAAGAUGAAAAUAAAAAUUCCAAAACAAGCAUUAAAGGUACCAUACAUGGUUGUAGAAUAUUACAGAGAGUUCAAAAUUCCAAAACAAGCUUUCCGAAACAAUAAGCUGUAAGGCUUAAGAUCUCUAUGAAGCAGCCUCUCUAUCACUAGAAGCAGAACAGAAGUGAUGCGGAACAAUAAAGAAUAAGAAUUAAAACAGGAAAAGAAAUAAGCUUUAGGGAAAUAAAGAAGCUAGAGAAGAGGAAGAAAGGGGAUUGGAGAUAUGCAAAAUUCUGCAAUUUUCAUUAAUCAUCAAAAGUCCCUCUCAAAAUAACAAAAGAACAUAUAAAUAGUAAACCCUAAAAGUAAACCCUAAAACAUCCUGCUAUUUGGGCUCGGCCCAUCAAAUCGAAUUGUUUAACAUAAAUAACAAUGAGCAGGCCCAGGUGGGCUAAAUAAAUAAAUAACAAUAAGCAGACCCAAACGGGAUAAAUAAAAUAACAAUGAAAUAGGCCCACAUGGGCUUAGUCCCCCAACCAAAGCGUGACAGGCUGGGCCAUCCUGCGCCGUCUCCGUCCAUAUACUUGUGUAUCUUAUGGAAUUUCUCGAUUUGAAAUUUCAGCUUGGCCAUUUGUUUGAGGAUGGUAUGCUGUGGAAGUCCGAUGAGUCACAUGAUAUUUGCGUAACAAUGCUUCCAUUGAACGAUUGCAAAAAUGAGUACCACGAUCACUAAUGAUAGCUUUAGGGAUUCCAAACCUGUCAAAUAUAUGAG